UACGAAGGGGGCUAGCGUUGUUCGGAAUCACUGGGCGUAAAGCGCACGUAGGCGGAUUGUUAAGUCAGGGGUGAAAUGCCAGGGCUCAACCUUGGAACUGCCUUUGAUACUGGCAAUCUCGAGUCCGGGAGAGGUGAGUGGAACUGCGAGUGUAGAGGUGAAAUUCGUAGAUAUUCGCAAGAACACCAGUGGCGAAGGCGGCUCACUGGCCCGGAACUGACGCUGAGGUGCGAAAGCGUGGGGAG
This 245-nucleotide ribosomal RNA is filed under the name uncultured bacterium. RNAcentral describes it as "partial 16S ribosomal RNA". It matches the Rfam family "Bacterial small subunit ribosomal RNA", at positions 524 to 768 of the family's 1533-position model. The record is from RNAcentral.